This is a long non-coding RNA of Tupaia belangeri chinensis (Chinese tree shrew), 301 nucleotides long. RefSeq lists it as uncharacterized. The transcript has 3 exons. The record is from RefSeq and is a predicted model, not a curated record. Lineage: Eukaryota; Metazoa; Chordata; Mammalia; Scandentia; Tupaiidae.
AGUCCACAAAGGAAAAGAGCCCAGAGACAGUCUUGAGGCCAUCCACUAGGUACCAGAAGGAAAGCUGAGGGGGCACCAAAGACAAUAAAGGUGUCUGAAGAGGCCACACACGUGUGCACCUGUGUGUGUGUUCCGGUCUGAGGAUUUGGUGCACACCUGCAGACCCACUGUGUUUUCCAAGCGACUGGGCGGAGAUAUGAACUGCAGUCAGCCACAGCUCAACUCAUGUGUCACUUUCCUGGGAAACGUCUUCCUACAUACAGAUCCAGCCCCACUGUUGACACCCUCAGAGCGUCAUGAC